Molecule: ribosomal RNA, 368 nt
Filed under: uncultured Actinomycetes bacterium
Lineage: Bacteria; Bacillati; Actinomycetota; Actinomycetes
Description: bacterial SSU rRNA
Rfam family: Bacterial small subunit ribosomal RNA
Source: RNAcentral
ACUCAUAGGAGACUGCCGGGGUCAACUCGGAGGAAGGUGGGGAUGACGUCAAAUCAUCAUGCCCCUUAUGUCUUGGGCUUCACGCAUGUUACAAUGGCCAGUACAAAGGGCUGCGAUACCGUAAGGUGGAGCGAAUCCCAAAAAACUGGUCUCAGUUCGGAUUGGGGUCUGCAACUCGACCCCAUGAAGUCGGAGUCGCUAGUAAUCGCAGAUCAGCAACGCUGCGGUGAAUACGUUCCCGGGCCUUGUACACACCGCCCGUCAAGUCACGAAAGUCGGUAACACCCGAAGCCGGUGGCCUAACCCUUUUGGGGAGGAGCCGUCGAAGGUGGGACUGGCGAUUGGGACUAAGUCGUAACCAAGGUAAC